AUUAAAAUAAUUAUGUUAAAUAAGUGUGAUAGAUCGAAGAUUAACUUACUUUUUCAUCAAGAAAGAGAACCGUGAUUCCCACAAACUCCUUGUCUUUCUUGAAGUUCAGGGAAUCCCAGAAGCGGAGGAAGCCAAAGGCUAUGCUUUGACUACUACGACCAAGACGGAGAGACUCGAAGGUUGAGUUACGGACGCCGGGACGCCGGUUUGAGAAACUGGAGAGGCAGAGAGAAACAUUUUCUAGAAGAUGAAGAUUGGAUUCAUCAAAGAUGAGAAUCAUAUAUAUAGGGUUUACAAAGGGGCUACAAAUCAGGAACAUUUAUGAUAAAGCGAUUUAAGAUGGGGACAUGAAGAGUUCACCGGUGAAAAAAU
RNAcentral lists this long non-coding RNA (372 nucleotides) under Brassica napus (rape). RNAcentral's name for it is "long non-coding RNA (BNAP_LNC013529)". The record is from RNAcentral. Lineage: Eukaryota; Viridiplantae; Streptophyta; Magnoliopsida; Brassicales; Brassicaceae.